UACGGAGGAUCCAAGCGUUAUCCGGAUUUAUUGGGUUUAAAGGGUGCGUAGGUGGGUUGGUGAGUCAGUGGUGAAAUACUUUCGCUUAACGAAGGAACUGCCAUUGAUACUACCAGCCUUGAAUACAGUGGAGGUGGGCGGAAUGCGUCAUGUAGCGGUGAAAUGCUUAGAUAUGACGCAGAACACCAAUUGCGAAGGCAGCUUGCUACGCUGUUAUUGACACUGAGGCACGAAAGCGUGGGGAUCAAACAGG
This 253-nucleotide ribosomal RNA is filed under the name uncultured bacterium. Its description in RNAcentral is "partial 16S ribosomal RNA". It matches the Rfam family "Bacterial small subunit ribosomal RNA", at positions 524 to 776 of the family's 1533-position model. The record is from RNAcentral.